UUCACUCAUUCUGUACUCUGAACAAUCUGGGCAAUUGGUAUGCUUUUUAACACUUUUGCUUUUCAGAUAAGGAAGAUGAGGCAGAAGGAAGUAAUUAGUUUCAAAUCACACACAUAGUGUAAAGCCCAAAUUCUAAUCCCAGAAGUCUGUCUUCAAAGUCCCCAAUAUCUUUUCUUUUAGGAAUAGUGAUAGAUGAUAUCCUAGCUCUGCUUUCAAGGAGCCUAAGCUCUGGGAAGGGGGAGGGAUGGUCACACAUGUGUAAUACUCAGUAGAAAAUCUCAAGGUAGACAGGAGACAUCAAGAAGAUUUCAGAGAAAUGAUGCCUUCAAGGGGCAACAUUCUCCCCAAGGAUAGAGAGAAGUCAACAAAUACAGAUAUAUAAACAAUUAAACCAUAGAAAGUGUUAGAUAUUAUGUUUGCAUUAUGUAUCAAUCAUAGUGGGAGCACAGAGGAGAAUGUAACAAAUAUCCUAGCAGCUGCAGAGAAGAAUAGAAAAAAGUUUCCUGAAUCUGGAAAGGGAAACAGAUGAUCCAAGGGAAAAGUUGAGAAAAGUGAGUACUGAGAAGAAGUAAACAAGUCUGAUGGAGCAUGAGAUAGCCAGACAUGUCUGCGGAUAGCAGGGACUUCAGUUUACUUAGAGCACAGAAGGGGGAGUAGGUAUCUACUUCAAUGUAGAACCUCGACAUAUGACAAAGAAGAUCACUAAGAAAAGGAAUAAAUGAAAUACUGUUUACUUUCCUCUAUAAAGAUCCUCAGCCAAUCACAAACUCUUUCUACAAAAGGAGGGAGGGGGUUUGUUAUAACAUGAAUCCUUAGUAAAGGAACUACUAUGGAGUCAGGCCCUUUAAUACAUAAUUUAUUCAAUCACUUAUUUAUUCAGUCAUUAUGUUCAAUAUCUUUAUGUCAUUUAUGUCUUUAUGACAUUCUAUGUCGUUAUGACAUUAUGUCAAUGUCAGUGUGCUAGGAACCUUAAGGGACACAAAGGUGAAGAUAAAUAGCAUCCGUCCUCUAGAUACACCCUUAAAGCCUUUCAGGCAGAGCCAUGGCAUACUGGCUUAGUAACAAUUCUGAUGAGGUGGUGCCCAUGCAGACGUAGGUGUUACGUAUUUUGAAUAUUAAUCCUGCUUGCAGACCUUUCCAUGUGCUUGCACCGAAGAUGCAAUCUGGUGAAACCUAAGUAUUAAAGAAGUAAGGAAGGCCUCUGGCCAAUUGCCAGAGGAGAAUUGAAGCCUUCAAUUCAAUAUCCCCUGAGGAAUAGAAUCAUACCCAAAGCCAUGUGAGAGAGUUUAGCAGUGGGUCCUUCCCCAGUUGAGUCUUCAGCAAAUACCUCGUUUGCAGCCCUGUGAAAUACCCUUAACUGAGAACUCAGAAAGAAAGAACGAGUUGGUGAGAGGGACAGAGAGAGAAAAUCUUAAACAGGCUCCACACUCAGCAGAUUCCACAACACUGGGAUCAUGAUCUGAACCGAAAUCAAGAGUCCCUUGCUCCACCAACUGGGCCACCCAGGCAUCCCUCAGCUUUAUUUUUAAUAGCCAAAAACUGGAACCAAAUCAGAUGUCCAUCAAUAGAUGCCCGUCACCAUGUUUGUAAGCCUUUUGAUCCUAAUAAAAAUGAGCAAGGACGCUUACUCGGGGCUCUUGUCUUCUCCCAGACAUUAGCCUCUCUUGCAUUUUUAAUCCUGCAUCCUGCUUUCUUGCUGGACAAGAGAGAACUCCAGACCCAGAGUCUACAACACAGGUGUUGUUUCUUAAGUUUAUUUGACAUUGAAAUUUUAUUUUUAUUUGUUUUUUAUUUUUUCAGAGCAUCUAUAUGACAAGUAAUGUUUUAAGAUAUUGCCUGAGGAUAGGGCUGCCUUAGAAGCACAGUUCUUUUGAUCACUCUACAAUGUCAGUGGAGAACAUAUUUGCCUAAAUGAAUCAUUGCUAUUUUUACAAAAGGUCUCCCUUAAGACUAAAUCUUUCGAAUACCUGUUUUUGUGCAUAAUAUAGGUAUGCACAUGUGUAAGUGGGUAGGAGAGUGAAAUUGUCUUUGUCAACUUGGGCUGCUGUAACAAAAUACCAUAGACUGGAGUUAUUAAAAACAUGCUAUUUCUCACAGUUCUGGAAGCUGGAAAGUCAAAGGUUAAAGUGCAAGCAGAUUUGGUGUUGGGCGAGGUAUGACCUCUUGUCUUCUAGUCAGCUGCCUCUUCGUUGUGUCUUCAUAUGGCCUCUCCUCAGUGCAUAAGCAGAGAGAACUUUCCUUCUCUUUCUCUUUUUAUAAGGAAGGGUAUCAAUCCCAUAAUGACCUCAUCUAAACUUAUUUUACCUCUCAAACCUCCCCCCCUUCAAAUACUGUCACACUGAUGAAUAGGGUUUUAAGAUAUGAAUGAGAGAGGAAUACACAUUCAGUCCUUGACAAAAAUGGUCUAUAUUUUUUGUGAAAAAGCAAAGAGAGAUUCUGUUUUAUAGGCUCUUUUACCAAAUAUGUAUCUUCUACAGUUUUUAAAUAGAGUCAAAAGAAGAUGUGAUAGUAUAAUAAUAGUAACUAACGUUUAUUAAGCAUUUCUUAUGUGCUAAGCCUAUCUUGAGCAUUUUACAUUCGUUAUUCUAUUUAAUUAUCACAACAACCCAAUACAGAAUAUACUAUUACUAAUAUUCUAACUUUACAGAUGAGAAAAUAUGAACACAGGAUCACAUAAACUAAUAAGGUAGAGAGCCAUAGAAGGACUUUUUAUUUAUGAAUAUAUAAAAAAUAUCUUAUUUCAGUGUUUAUGCUUUCUCAUUCAUUUAUUUAAAUAAUAUAUAGUGAAAAUCUAGUGAGAGGUAUUGAUAGUUUUAAACACUUAAAUGUUACCAUUCUGUUUAGGAUGUUUGCAUAACUAUAGAGUUUCACUAGCAAAAACUUUGCUUGAAACUGUAUUUAUUAAAGUAACAGAAAAAACACUUUGUCAAACUGUGUAUAAAAAUUGUUGUGGCUUUUGGCAUAUAUUUCUGUUCACCUGAUUUAUUAGCCUUUAGAAAUAUGCAAAAUUAAAUAUGUGCAACUGACACCUCUGUAAAGAUUAUGGUUAAUUCAUUUUACAAUCACAUCUCAGGCAUUUUAUGAUAGCUGGAUGACUUAAAAUCCAAUGUGGGAUAUAGAUUUUUCAUGCAUUCCAUUUGAUUAUGGUCACUAGGUCCUGAGCCAUGGAAAGAACAUAUAUUUCCUGCUUAGUUUACUAAGGCAAUAUUUAUAUAUAGUUACCUAGAAUUUGAAGUUUUUUUUGUAGGGAAAUGCCAAAGCUUACUUCUCUUUCACAAAAUGUUAUAGAUUUCAAAAAUAAAUGGAAGUCAUUAAGGAGUUAUUUUCAACAAUCUUAUAUUUCGUUCAUUCAAAGAAAAAAGAACUUGCUUAAGGCUAUCAUUUCUAAAGCUAUUAUUGUGACAUAUUAAUAAAUUCUAAUAGAUCUUAAGGCACUCCUUCAGCUGUCAAAUAUAAACUGUUAUAAGAUGGUAUAAGGUGUACUUUUUACCUUUUAUAUAUACAUACAUGACUCUAAGUUCAAGUUCAUUAGUUAAGAUUGAAUUGCUUAUGACUUAAAAAUUGACAACGUAUAUUAAAUUCUAUUGCAAGGCAGAAAACACACUUGUACAUUUUUCAUAGUCUGUGGCCAUAUGAAAUAGAAUACAGGAGGAGAAAGGUGAUAAAAAAUAUAUAUAAAUUGGCAUAUAUAACGAUUUUCUUCCAGAAAAAAACAACUGCUCAUAUUAGAAAAGGAUUACAAGUCGCUUUUAUAAUUUUAUUUCUGGUAUUAAGUACUUUCUUAAUCUUAAAUUGCUUGCUCUUCUGAACUGUAUUUAAAUAAAUUCUUGAACUGUAAGGAAUCUAAUAAGAAACGUCCACUUUUGGCUAUUCUUC
Long non-coding RNA from Acinonyx jubatus (cheetah), 3876 nucleotides. RefSeq lists it as uncharacterized. NCBI's taxonomy places the organism in Eukaryota, Metazoa, Chordata, Mammalia, Carnivora, Felidae. The transcript has 4 exons. The record is from RefSeq and is a predicted model, not a curated record.